GGAGGACACCUAUAACAACGUGUUCACCCUGCCUCGUGAACACAAUCCCAAAAUCACCCGGGAGCCCUAUCUAGUGAUCAAGGGCGUACAGAUGGGGGACUCCGGACGGUACACGUGUACCACCAUCCUGGACUCUGAGGUGCCAGUGAGUAAGAUCACCUAUAACGUGGCAGUUAUCAGCGAAUCGGAACAGGCGACAAAAAAAUACCAUCCACGCCCUACACUUCCUG
Molecule: long non-coding RNA, 230 nt
Organism: Bufo bufo (common toad)
Lineage: Eukaryota; Metazoa; Chordata; Amphibia; Anura; Bufonidae
Exons: 3
Source: RefSeq, a predicted model, not a curated record